RNAcentral lists this ribosomal RNA (468 nucleotides) under uncultured bacterium. Its description in RNAcentral is "partial 16S ribosomal RNA". It matches the Rfam family "Bacterial small subunit ribosomal RNA", at positions 28 to 507 of the family's 1533-position model. The record is from RNAcentral.
GACGAACGCUGGCGGCGUGCUUAACACAUGCAAGUCGAACGGAAAGGCCCUGCUUUUGUGGGGUGCUUGAGUGGCGAACGGGUGAGUAACACGUGAGUAACCUGCCCUUUACUUUGGGAUAACUUCAGGAAACUGGGGCUAAUACCGGAUAUGAUCUCCUGCUGCAUGGUGGGGGUUGGAAAGUUUCGGCGGUUGGGGCUGGACUCGCGGGUUAUCAGCUUGUUGGUGGGGUAGUGGCUUACCAAGGCUUGGACGGGUAGCCGGCCUGCGCGGGUGGCCGGCGACAUUAGGACUGAGGUACGGACCAGAAUGGUAUGGGAGGCAGCAGUGGGGAGUCUUGCACAAUGGCGGGAAGCGUGUGGCAGCAAUGCCGCGUGCGGGAUGCCGGCCUUUGGGUUAUAAACCGCUUUGGCCUGUACCGAAGGGUGAGUGACGGUAAUGGGUAAAGAAGCAACGGCUAACUACGUG